This 553-nucleotide ribosomal RNA is filed under the name Limosilactobacillus fermentum. Its description in RNAcentral is "bacterial SSU rRNA". It matches the Rfam family "Bacterial small subunit ribosomal RNA", at positions 11 to 520 of the family's 1533-position model. Lineage: Bacteria; Bacillati; Bacillota; Bacilli; Lactobacillales; Lactobacillaceae. The record is from RNAcentral.
GUUUGAUCCUGGCUCAGGAUGAACGCCGGCGGUGUGCCUAAUACAUGCAAGUCGAACGCGUUGGCCCAAUUGAUUGACGGUGCUUGCACCUGAUUGAUUUUGGUCGCCAACGAGUGGCGGACGGGUGAGUAACACGUAGGUAACCUGCCCAGAAGCGGGGGACAACAUUUGGAAACAGAUGCUAAUACCGCAUAACAGCGUUGUUCGCAUGAACAACGCUUAAAAGAUGGCUUCUCGCUAUCACUUCUGGAUGGACCUGCGGUGCAUUAGCUUGUUGGUGGGGUAACGGCCUACCAAGGCGAUGAUGCAUAGCCGAGUUGAGAGACUGAUCGGCCACAAUGGGACUGAGACACGGCCCAUACUCCUACGGGAGGCAGCAGUAGGGAAUCUUCCACAAUGGGCGCAAGCCUGAUGGAGCAACACCGCGUGAGUGAAGAAGGGUUUCGGCUCGUAAAGCUCUGUUGUUAAAGAAGAACACGUAUGAGAGUAACUGUUCAUACGUUGACGGUAUUUAACCAGAAAGUCACGGCUAACUACGUGCCAGCAGCCGCGG